This 554-nucleotide ribosomal RNA is filed under the name uncultured bacterium. RNAcentral's name for it is "bacterial SSU rRNA". It matches the Rfam family "Bacterial small subunit ribosomal RNA", at positions 339 to 906 of the family's 1533-position model. The record is from RNAcentral.
CUACGGGAGGCAGCAGUGGGGAAUUUUCCGCAAUGGGCGAAAGCCUGACGGAGCAAUACCGCGUGAGGGAAGACGGCCUAUGGGUUGUAAACCUCUUUUUUCAGGGAGGAAUAAAUGACGUGUACCUGAAGAAUAAGCAUCGGCUAACUCCGUGCCAGCAGCCGCGGUAAGACGGAGGAUGCAAGUGUUAUCCGGAAUCACUGGGCGUAAAGCGUCUGUAGGUUGUUAAACAAGUCAACUGUUAAAUCUUGAGGCUCAACUUCAAAAUCGCAGUCGAAACUGUUUGACUAGAGUAUAGUAGGGGUAAAGGGAAUUUCCAGUGGAGCGGUGAAAUGCGUAGAUAUUGGAAAGAACACCGAUGGCGAAGGCACUUUACUGGGCUAUUACUGACACUCAGAGACGAAAGCUAGGGUAGCAAAUGGGAUUAGAUACCCCAGUAGUCCUAGCCGUAAACAAUGGAUACUAGAUGUUGGGCAGAUCGACCUGUUCAGUAUUAAAGCUAACGCGUUAAGUAUCCCGCCUGGGAAGUAUGCGCGCAAGCGUGAAACUCAAAG